GACGUAGGGGGCGAGCGUUGUCCGGAAUUACUGGGCGUAAAGGGCGUGUAGGCGGCUUAAUAAGUCAGCUGUGAAAUCCCCCGGCUCAACUGGGGGCCUGCAGUUGAAACUAUUGAGCUUGAGUGCAGGAGAGGAAGGUGGAAUUCCCAGUGUAGCGGUGAAAUGCGUAGAUAUUGGGAGGAACACCGGUGGCGAAGGCGGCCUUCUGGCCUGUAACUGACGCUGAGGCGCGAAAGCUAGGGGAGCAAACAGG
RNAcentral lists this ribosomal RNA (253 nucleotides) under uncultured bacterium. RNAcentral describes it as "partial 16S ribosomal RNA". It matches the Rfam family "Bacterial small subunit ribosomal RNA", at positions 524 to 776 of the family's 1533-position model. The record is from RNAcentral.